CGAACGCUGGCGGCGUGCUUAACACAUGCAAGUCGAACGAGAAAGCUUCCUUCGGGAAGUGAGUAGAGUGGCGCACGGGUGAGUAACGCGUAGGUAAUCUACCCUAAUAUUUGGGAUAACAUUGGGAAACUGGUGCUAAUACCGAAUACCCUUCUUUUCUGCCGGGUUAAGGAGGAAAGGUGGCCUCUUCAUGAAAGCUACCGUAUAAGGAUGAGCCUGCGUACCAUUAGCUAGUAGGUGGGGUAAUGGCCCACCUAGGCAACGAUGGUUAGCGGGUCUGAGAGGAUGAUCCGCCACACUGGAACUGGAACACGGACCAGACUCCUACGGGAGGCAGCAGUGAGGAAUAUUGCGCAAUGGGGGAAACCCUGACGCAGCGACGCCGCGUGAGUGAGGAAGGUUUUCGGAUCGUAAAGCUCUGUCAGAAGGGAAGAAGUGUUAUAUGGUUAACACCCAUAUAAUUUGACGGUACCUUCAGAGGAAGCACCGGCUAACUCC
Molecule: ribosomal RNA, 498 nt
Filed under: uncultured bacterium
Lineage: Bacteria
Description: bacterial SSU rRNA
Rfam family: Bacterial small subunit ribosomal RNA
Source: RNAcentral